GCCAGCAUGGUGUAGUGAUUUUCACAUUGGACUAUGACUCUGGAGAUCAGGGUUCAAUUCUCAUUGUUUAUG
Molecule: non-coding RNA, 72 nt
Organism: Phrynosoma platyrhinos (Desert horned lizard)
Lineage: Eukaryota; Metazoa; Chordata; Lepidosauria; Squamata; Phrynosomatidae
Source: the annotation of a GenBank genome assembly